RNAcentral lists this transfer-messenger RNA (361 nucleotides) under bacterium. It matches the Rfam family "transfer-messenger RNA". From Rfam's summary of the family: Bacterial tmRNA, also known as 10Sa RNA or SsrA, is named for its dual tRNA and mRNA-like properties. Its role is to liberate the mRNA from a stalled ribosome. The record is from RNAcentral.
GGGGAUGAAGGGAUUUGAUAGCAAAAGGUUUUGAGGGAUAGCAGGCUGGGGGAAGCAGGCAAUCCUCCAUAAUAAAAACCUGCACUUUUAAAAUGCCAACCAAAAUCAACCUGCUUACGCUUUAGCGUAAGCCAUCUGGUAAGAUAACCUUGCCUAGCAGGUCUUACCAGGUGUGAUUUUUGCUAGGCAGUUUCUGGGGAUUUGGUGCUUUGACCCAGAAACUUAAGUUUUUAAAGCACCCCAAAACUGGUUUUUUUGGCAGUUUUUAAGCCAGUUUUGGUUUUCUAAAACUGCCUGAGCCUGGAGAAGUCCCUCAAAAACCUUUUGCUAGACGCGGGUUCGAUUCCCGCCAUCUCCACUA